This 240-nucleotide unclassified non-coding RNA is filed under the name soil metagenome. RNAcentral's name for it is "partial contains 5.8S ribosomal RNA, internal transcribed spacer 2, and large subunit ribosomal RNA". The record is from RNAcentral.
AAGACUAUAGACCUGCGGAGUACCUGCGGAAGGAUCAUUAUUGAAUUAUGUUUCUAAAUGGGUUGUAGCUGGCUCGUCAGAGCAUGUGCAUGCCUGUUUGGACUUCAUUUUCAUCCACCUGUGCACCUAUUGUAGUCUUUGGUUGGGUAUCAAGGAAGUGGUCAGCCUAUCAGCACUUGCUGGAUGUGAGGACUUGCAGUGUGAAAGCUUUGCUGUCCUUUACUUGAUCAUGGAGUUGUU